RNAcentral lists this ribosomal RNA (509 nucleotides) under uncultured bacterium. RNAcentral describes it as "bacterial SSU rRNA". It matches the Rfam family "Bacterial small subunit ribosomal RNA", at positions 8 to 526 of the family's 1533-position model. The record is from RNAcentral.
AGGGUUCGAUUAUGGCUCAGGACGAACGCUGGCGGUGCGCCUUAUGCAUGCAAGUCGAGCGAAGCUUUUCAGUAGUUUACUACAGAAAAUGACUGAGCGGCGAACGGGUGAGUAACGCGUGAGCAAUCUACCUUAGUUACAGGGAUAGCCCGAGGAAACUCGGAUUAAUACCUGAUAUUCUUUAUUUCUCGCAUGAGAAUAAAAGGAAAGGUCAGCCGAACUAAGAUGAGCUCGCGUUCUAUCAGCUAGUUGGUGAGGUAAAAGCUUACCAAGGCUACGACGGAUAGCUGGUCUGAGAGGACGAUCAGCCACACUGGGACUGAGACACGGCCCAGACUCCUACGGGAGGCUGCAGCAGGGAAUAUUGUGCAAUGAACGAAAGUUUGACACAGCGACACCGCGUGUGGGAUGACGGAUCUAGGUUUGUAAACCACUUUCAGGAGGGAAGAAAAUGACGGUACCUCCACAAGAAGCCCCGGCCAACUACGUGCCAGCAGCCGCGGUAAUUC